CAAAAUUCUGCAUUUUUUCACCAUUUAAUGUCUUCUGGAUCUCUGGUUUUGAUUCCUUUAAAAUUCAAACGCUCCGAAUUUGACACACAAUAAUUAUAUCAUAUUAAACAUGUUAAUUUCACAUAUAUUAACAACCUGAAUCAUAUAAUUAUACACACAGUUCAUUCAUCACUUUCAUUAAAUUUAUGUUCAUGCUCAAAGCUUUAAAAUUCCAACGAUGACAUAAAGUCAUACUCAUAAAUAGAACCUUACACCCAUGCAUUCAGUCACAAAAAUCACAUAACACAAUCAAUCAUCAAUUUUCAGAUUUUCUCACAACAACGACAAAUCAUAAUAGAAUCUACACAAUUCCUAAUGAGAGUAAGAAUAUCUCUUUUCUAUCCUAUCAUGCAAUACACCUAUAGUGAAAG
This 410-nucleotide long non-coding RNA is filed under the name Lathyrus oleraceus (garden pea). RNAcentral's name for it is "Pisum sativum (pea) long non-coding RNA (PSAT_LNC020189)". Lineage: Eukaryota; Viridiplantae; Streptophyta; Magnoliopsida; Fabales; Fabaceae. The record is from RNAcentral.